UCUAAAUACUUACGAUUUGCACCCCCACCCCCUAUUCUUCUUCAAUAUAAUAUGAUAGAAAGAAAACAUCUGUUGAGGUGAAUGUUGUCUGAUUCGAAAUCAUUCAACAAAUUAUAAUCAAUGAUGAAUUAUUUAAUUGAAUGAUUUCGGACCAGGCUUCAUUCCCCUCAACUCACGAUUUUGUUUUAGCCUACAUAUAAUGCAGCCAUUUUGACUAUACUAGAACUCUAGAAGUUGAUGAUCUCCUUUGCCCUCUCUCGCAGGUGGAGGCAAAUCUAGGGUAAUUAAAGAAGAGACAACUAGCAGGUGAUCAAACUCAGCAGGUAGCAUAAAUAGAACUAGUCUUUGAUCUAGCAGGUGAUCAAACUCAGCAGGAAUUUCAGAGAGGUGCUUAUGCAAAGGAAUAAGAAGCAACCCCAAAAAUUGGAGUGAAAGAAGAUGUAAGAAAAAAAAGAACUUUUCAAAAAAGACAAUGUAAAGGGAUUUAUUUUUACACUAUUAAACCACGUUGUUACUUCAUCAUAUUAUAUGAAAUGUCAUGACAAAUUAACUUCUUGUAAUUGGUUGUUGCACUAUAUUUCUCUUUACUACGUCAUGCUUGCUAUCGAGAGAGAUAUUAUUGUGACAUGUAAAUCAAUUUUAUUUGAUGAUUUAUAAA
Capsicum annuum is the source of this 658-nucleotide long non-coding RNA. RefSeq lists it as uncharacterized. NCBI's taxonomy places the organism in Eukaryota, Viridiplantae, Streptophyta, Magnoliopsida, Solanales, Solanaceae. The record is from RefSeq and is a predicted model, not a curated record. The transcript is spliced from 3 exons.